AUUGAACGCUGACGGCGUGCUUAACACAUGCAAGUCGUGCGAGAAAGGGGACUUCGGUCCCUGAGUAGAGCGGCGCACGGGUGAGUAACGCGUGGAUUAUCUACCCUCGGGCUCGGGAUAACAGUGGGAAACCGCUGCUAAUACCGGAUACGACCGACAGGUGAAAGGUGGCCUCUGCUUGCAUGCUACCGACCGGGGAUGAGUCCGCGUCCCAUUAGCUAGUUGGCGGGUAAUGGCCCACCAAGGCAACGAUGGGUAGCUGGUCUGAGAGGAUGACCAGCCACACUGGGACUGGAACACGGCCCAGACUCCUACGGGAGGCAG
RNAcentral lists this ribosomal RNA (324 nucleotides) under uncultured Pseudomonadota bacterium. Its description in RNAcentral is "bacterial SSU rRNA". It matches the Rfam family "Bacterial small subunit ribosomal RNA", at positions 30 to 351 of the family's 1533-position model. The record is from RNAcentral. Lineage: Bacteria; Pseudomonadati; Pseudomonadota.